AGUGAACGCUGGCGGUAGGCCUAACACAUGCAAGUCGAACGGCAGCACAGUAAGAGCUUGCUCUUACGGGUGGCGAGUGGCGGACGGGUGAGGAAUACAUCGGAAUCUACUUUUUCGUGGGGGAUAACGUAGAGAAACUUACGCUAAUACCGCAUACGACCUACGGGUGAAAGCAGGGGAUCUUCGGACCUUGCGCGAUUGAAUGAGCCGAUGUCGGAUUAGCUAGUUGGCGGGGUAAAGGCCCACCAAGGCGACGAUCCGUAGCUGGUCUGAGAGGAUGAUCAGCCACACUGGAACUGAGACACGGUCCAGACUCCUACGGGAGGCAGCAGUGGGGAAUAUUGGACAAUGGGCGCAAGCCUGAUCCAGCCAUACCGCGUGGGUGAAGAAGGCCUUCGGGUUGUAAAGCCCUUUUGUUGGGAAAGAAAAGCAGCAGGUUAAUACCCCGCUGUUCUGACGGUACCCAAAGAAUAAGCACCGGCUAACUUCAUG
This 492-nucleotide ribosomal RNA is filed under the name uncultured bacterium. Its description in RNAcentral is "partial 16S ribosomal RNA". It matches the Rfam family "Bacterial small subunit ribosomal RNA", at positions 29 to 507 of the family's 1533-position model. The record is from RNAcentral.